GGUUAAUAUUCCCGUACUUCUGACUAUUGCGAUGGGGGGACGGAGAAGGCUAGGUGGGCCAGGCGACGGUUGUCCUGGUUCAAGUGCGUAGGCUUGAGAGUUAGGUAAAUCCGGCUCUCUCUAAGGCUGAGACACGACGUCGAGCUGCUACGGCAGUGAAGUCAUUGAUGCCAUGCUUCCAGGAAAAGCCUCUAAGCUUCAGAUAGUCAGGAAUCGUACCCCAAACCGACACAGGUGGU
RNAcentral lists this ribosomal RNA (239 nucleotides) under Vibrio cholerae. RNAcentral's name for it is "partial 23S ribosomal RNA". It matches the Rfam family "Bacterial large subunit ribosomal RNA", at positions 1428 to 1666 of the family's 2925-position model. Lineage: Bacteria; Pseudomonadati; Pseudomonadota; Gammaproteobacteria; Vibrionales; Vibrionaceae. The record is from RNAcentral.